Molecule: long non-coding RNA, 544 nt
Filed under: Nicotiana benthamiana
Lineage: Eukaryota; Viridiplantae; Streptophyta; Magnoliopsida; Solanales; Solanaceae
Description: long non-coding RNA (NBEN_LNC003044)
Source: RNAcentral
UUGAAGUUGAGGGUGAAAUGGGAAUGGAGAAAUGUCAAAGCUGGCUAAGUAGGUGCAAGGAAGGUGGCCAAGGCAACAAGGUUUUUUGUGAUUGGAGGAAGCCCUUAUGGGUGGCUACUUCUUAAAUAAAAGUUCUAUUCUGAAUCACUUAAUUAUAAGUUUUUGACAAUUCCAUAUAUUUCAUAUGGUUUUGUUUACCUUGUCCUUUUACUACCUGCCUUUUCUCCCCUUUUUCUUUUUCUAAAUCUAACGUUUCUGUCUAAAUUAAUGGCUCUCACUGUAUAAAACUGUCUUGUGCAAUUAUUAAUUCGAAUUUUCUUUUAUUUUGUUAGAGGGGGCCAGUUUUAAUAAUAAUUAUUAGAAUACGCUAAUUGGUGAAAAGCUUGAUCAGCACCUCAGCCAAAUUAGUUAUAGCCCGAAAAAAUAAAAAAGAUUCGGUGUGAUUCUUCACUUACACCAUUAGAAGUCCCUAUUUGACCACUUAUGCUCAUGAAAACGGUUGGCGAUACUCUAUUUUUUCUUAAAGAAAAUAUUAUUAUUGUUU